RNAcentral lists this long non-coding RNA (1312 nucleotides) under Homo sapiens (human). Its description in RNAcentral is "HSALNT0389373". The record is from RNAcentral. Lineage: Eukaryota; Metazoa; Chordata; Mammalia; Primates; Hominidae.
CAGGGCUGAGGAGAUACCUGUUCUCCCAGUUUCACGGCCAGUACAAGGCCAUUCUUACACUGCUCGGGGGAGCCCCUCAGGAGAAGACACAUUUAAGAGUUUCCAGCAAGAAGAGUCAGGUCAUGCAGUCAGCUGCUUUCUCAGCCCAGCUGUGGGAAUGUAAACAAGUUUCUAACCUCAUUGAAUCUUAGGUUCCCUGUUUGGAAACAGAUGAGAUCCACAACAGCCAUUAUCUUAUUGGAUGGUUGUUGUAUGGCAGGGGCUGUACUGAAGAGUCACACACAUUACUUAGUCUUCCCAACAAUCCUGCAAGAUAUAGAACCUUGACAUGUUUCUCAGGCUGGUCUGAAACUCCUGGGGCUCAAGCGAUCCACCUGCCUCCACCUCUCAAAGUGCUGAGAUUACAGAAAAUGAAAGGAAUUGAAAUUAAGACAAGGGAGAGAUUGAAGAGUGGAAAGGAGAAAGUGGUUGAGGAACAGUGAGAGAAGUUGGAGAAGAAAGGAUGAUGCAUCUGAGAGCUCAAUGCAUGUCGGUGAUGAUGAAGGUGAAGAUGCUGUGAGUGAUGAUGAGGAGGAGGAGGAGGAUGUAAUUGAAGGAGCUUGGGCUUUGCCAUCAGUACAGCUGAGUUAAAAUGAGAAAGGGAGCAAAGAAGAAGAAGAAAGGAAAAACUGAAAAAAGAAACAUUGAGGCUCAUGUCUUGUUUUGUUUCUCAAAAGAUUCCAUUAGACUCAAUAUGUCAUUCUAAGUGCACCUGGAUAUAGCGCAGAUUUAGAUAACUGUCUCCUCCCCUUCUGACCUUUAUUACGACUACAAAAAUUCUGUGUGUGAGGGAUAAAUAAUGCAUGCUCUCAGCCAAGAAGGGAAAGAAGACCCAAGGAAAAAUUGCAGAAUAGAAUGGCAAACCAGGAAAACAGAGCUCAGUACAGAAGGGAGUUGGGCAGCCUCUGUUCCUGUUUGGCUCUGUCCUUGAAGAAAGUGAUAAGAAGUGCACAGAUUUUGGAAUUAAACAGACCAUGGUUUGAAGUCUGGAUCUUCCAGUUGUAACCAGGUGGCAUUGGGGCCUAUGGUUCAUCCUGCAAUAUCAGAGAAUACACAACUGUUGGAAGCUCAUUUGUGCAGAAGCACUAGUUAGACCAAGUCCCAGGAUGGUGGGGACUUGAACUGCCUCAUGCACAUUGUACCCAAGAGCCUGGCCCAUGAAGGUGAAUCAGUGGAUACUUGAAUAAAAAGAAGAAUAUGCGCUGAAGUUUUCUUUGAGGACAUUUUUUUUUCUUUCCAUAGUUUUGAGCAUCUCUGAUGUUUUGAGAUUUCU